Molecule: ribosomal RNA, 404 nt
Filed under: uncultured bacterium
Lineage: Bacteria
Description: partial 16S ribosomal RNA
Rfam family: Bacterial small subunit ribosomal RNA
Source: RNAcentral
GACGAACGCUGGCGGCGUGCUUAACACAUGCAAGUCGAGCGGAGCGGCGAACGGGUGAGUAACGCAUGAGUAACUGCCCCCCUCCCUGGGAUGGGAGUUGAAAACGGGUGCUAAUACCGGAUAGUGGGGGAUGAGUGGCGUCCUAUGAGCUUCUCGGUGGGGUAGUGGCAUACCAAGGCGACGACGGGUAGCCGGCCUGGGAGGGCGACCGGGCACAUGGAGCUGCGAGAGGUACCAAACGCCAACGGUGGGCAGCGGUGGGGAAUAUUGCACAAUGGGGGAGAGCCUGAGGCAGAAGCGCGGGUGUGGGAAGACGGCCUUCGGGGGAGAAACCGCUUGCAGCCAUUACGCGGUAGUGGCAGAAGAAGCACCGGCUAACUCCGUGCCAGCAGCCGCGGUAAUAC